CUCCCUCCUUGGGCUCCCAAAGUGCUGGAAUUACAGGGAGUAGAUUCUGCUAUCUUGGCCUCACAGCCCUUCCUGUUGAUUACAAAACCCAUGGAAGAAAACAGAACACGCCCUUCUCAGUUCCGUCUAAAUGUGUUUCUUCUACUUCAGUUACGCCAGUUCUGGGGCAAAGACACUGACGAAACAACACCUAUACCUGAAAAAGAAUAAAUGUGUGACUUUCAAAUCCCCUUUCCCAGUGAAAGAAACAGCAAACACUUCAGAUUCAGCAUCUGUUCUCCAGUUGCACUGAGGAAUGCACUGUCUCACAGCACCAGCUCUGCAGAGCCCUUGCCCCCGGACUCUUUGCGGUUUUAUUUAUAUGUAUUUCCAUAUUUCAUUCCUGUAUGUCACUGCUGCAUUGGUGUGGCAGCAAGUGACCAAAUGCUACAGGUCUUACUAUGGACACCAGGUCAGGUGCAACUACACAAAACAAAGCCAGUUCCAUGAGCUGCCUAUGAUAUGCAUUGCGGAAGUAACAUUUUACCCAGGGUGUGCCGUUGCAGUGAUAUAAAUAUAUUUUUUUUCUUAGACUAAAUAUGAGCUGACUAUCUCUUUUGAUGUGUGUACAUAGGUGUGAGUGUGUGUGUAUGCGUGCGUGUCUGUGUGUGGAUGUGGAUGUGUGUAGCCUCAUGCUUAGGACUACCCGUGAAUGUUAUGGAAUGCUACACCUGGAGAGUUCUAGUUUUCCACCGGUUUCAAGAUGAAGAACCACAUGAUGCAGUGGACCUGGAGACCGUCCCCUUGGAAAGACAACCCAGAGAUGUUCAGCAUCCUGGAUCUAUACGUGUAUUUUGUAGCCGUCACACUAACCUUAAUAAGAAUUCUACAGCUUUGGACAGAGGCAUUUUCACCUUAAUGGUGAAGUAAUUGAAAAUAUAAAUCCAUUCAGGUGACAACCCAUCGUCAAAAUUACACAUUCUGAUUGAACUCAUCUGAAUCAUCAGUUCCUCGACGGAGAGAGAGAAGGAGAUGGAAUGUGUUUGGUAACCCCAAAUGGAGUACAAGUAGCCUUUGUUUUCCUGCAUAAAUGGACUUGUUGAAUGCGAACAAAUAUAUGCAAUUCAUAUACUUUUGGAGAUGAACGUAGAUAUGUGUGUCAGCUUUGAGAUGGUGUGUCCUGGAUUAAUACUUUGUCUCCCAAUAUCACAGAAAAAUGCAUGCCAGUGACUCCUGAGGUUAAGGUCGUUGGGAUGAAAUGGCCUCAGGCAAUUUCAGAUUCCCUAAUUACCAGGAAAGUUCUACAGUAAUUAAUACACAGCUAACUCCUAUUGCCCUCACAAGAGCAUCAGCCUUCUAGGAUCAGAGCUCCGGAGUGUGAAGAUUCAGUAUUGAUAAGAUAAUGUAUACCAAACUCCAGCCAACUUACUGCCAUUUUUCAUAAUCUGAGUGGCUGCCUUGCUUAUCCUAAGCUAUGGUUGCAGAAACUGUGGCCAUUUAUAUAAGCUAUAACAUCAAAUCAGGGAAAAA
Molecule: long non-coding RNA, 1509 nt
Filed under: Macaca mulatta (Rhesus monkey)
Lineage: Eukaryota; Metazoa; Chordata; Mammalia; Primates; Cercopithecidae
Description: lncRNA (ENSMMUG00000055810.1)
Source: RNAcentral